RNAcentral lists this ribosomal RNA (422 nucleotides) under uncultured bacterium. RNAcentral's name for it is "bacterial SSU rRNA". It matches the Rfam family "Bacterial small subunit ribosomal RNA", at positions 355 to 774 of the family's 1533-position model. The record is from RNAcentral.
UGAGGAAUAUUGGACAAUGGGUGAAAACCUGAUCCAGCCAUGCCGCGUGCAGGAAGACGGCCCUAUGGGUUGUAAACUGCUUUUGUAUGGGAGCAAUAAGCUCUACGCGUAGAGUGAUGAGAGUACCAUACGAAUAAGCACCGGCUAACUACGUGCCAGCAGCCGCGGUAAUACGUAGGGUGCAAGCGUUGUCCGGAUUUACUGGGUGUAAAGGGCGCGUAGGCAGGACUGCAAGUCAGGUGUGAAAUCUGGGGGCUCAACCCCCAAACUGCACUUGAAACUGUGGUUCUUGAGUGAUGGAGAGGCAAGUGGAAUUCCUAGUGUAGCAGUGAAAUGCGUAGAUAUUUGGAGGAACACCGGUGGCGAAGGCGGAUUUCUGGGCCUUUAUUGACGCUAAAGUGCGAAAGCUAGGGGAGCAAACG